Molecule: ribosomal RNA, 689 nt
Filed under: Arthrinium sp. UFMGCB_517
Lineage: Eukaryota; Fungi; Ascomycota; Sordariomycetes; Amphisphaeriales; Apiosporaceae
Description: eukaryotic LSU rRNA
Rfam family: 5.8S ribosomal RNA (bases 224-379)
Source: RNAcentral
UAACAAGGUCUCCGUUGGUGAACCAGCGGAGUGGAUCAUUACAGAGUUAUACAACUCCCAUACCAUCUGUCAACCUACCCAGCUAUGCCUCGGCGUAAGCUCGGCCGGGGGCGGUCCGGCGCUACCCUGUAGCGGCGGCCGCGCCACCUCGGACGCGCCCGACGGCGGUACACUAAACUAUGUUUUACUUUACCUUCUGAGCGUACUUAUAUUAAUAAGUUAAAACUUUCAACAACGGAUCUCUAGGUUACUGGCAUCGAUGAAGAACGCAGCGAAAUGCGAUAAGUAAUGUGACAUAGCAGAAAUCAGUGAAUCAUCGAAUCUAUGAACGCACAUUGCGCCCAUCAGUAAUCUGGUGGGCAUGCCUGUUCGAGCGUCAUUUCAACCCCUUAAGCACUAGCUUAGUGUUGGGACUCUACUGUACUGUAAGUUCCCCAAAGACAGUGGCGGAGCGGCAGUGGACUCUGAGCGAAGUAAUUCCUUUCUCGCUCCUGUCAGGCCCUGUACUCCCGCCGUAAUACCCCCAUCUUUUAGUGGUUGACCUCGGAUCAGGUAGGAAUACCCGCUGAUACUUAAGCAUAUCAAUAAGCGGAGGAAAAGAAACCAACAGGGAUUCCCCUAGUAACGGCGAGUGAAGCGGGUACAGCUCAAAUUUGAUAUCUGGCCCUUGGGUCCGAGUUGUAUUUGCA